UGAAGCUCCCGAAAUUUCGAA
This 21-nucleotide non-coding RNA is filed under the name Caenorhabditis elegans. The record is from RNAcentral. Lineage: Eukaryota; Metazoa; Nematoda; Chromadorea; Rhabditida; Rhabditidae.